AAAUAUGGAGAAUAAUUUAUAACUCACUGUAAAAGUGGGAAGUAAACUGAAACUACAAAAAGUUCUGGUUGGCGAAAAAAGCUCUCGCUUGAAGAAAUCGCCUUUGUUUCAAAACCCUAGACCGGCCGCCGCCGCUUCUCGCGGUCGCCGGUUCUCGUCCUUGAAAACGUGUCUCUCCCCUCUCCCCUCUCUUCUCUCGGAUAUCUCCUUCUCCUCGAGUAGAUUUGUUCCUUUACCGUGUGUGUUGCAGAUCGCGUUGAAGAACUUUUUGUUAUCUCAGAUCCAGUGGUCCUGUUGUAGAUCUGAGCGCGUGGAGUGGUGUUUGUUGGUCGUGGAUAUGGGUGUUGCAGAUCGCGUUGAAGAACUUUUUGUUAUCUCAGAUCCAGUGGUCCUGUUGUAGAUCUGAGCGCGUGGAGUGGUGUUUGUUGGUCGUGGAUAUGGGUUAUGCCCUUCUCCGGCUCUGUCUGCGUUUCCAGGUGAAGGUCCAAGACUCAGUUUUCCUUGUGUGAUGCAGCGGCUGUGUUUACAGCCUGUUUCGGUUUGGUAACCCGUUGAUAGGGGUUGAAUCCGGUUAACUCUCAUGGAUGUUAGAGUUGGUUUUAAUUGGUUGUUGAUUUAGCAACGGUGUAGCAGUGCAGCAGUGAUGUGGUGGUGUGUGGUGAGCAGUUGAUGGUUAGGGUAUUGAGAAGAAGAUGGUUUAUGAUUACCUCUUCAUCUCUCAAUUCGAAGGUCUCCUUUUCUUGCUUCUUGAAUACGAUUUUCUCAUGUUCUGCCUUUGGUCUCUUCUUUUCCUCGGUGGCUUCCUCUGGUGAAGCAAUAUAAUGAGCGUGAGGCAUGCAGGCGUCAGAUGAAGAUGCAAUUGAUCUUGGGGGUCUCUCGGGUGUGGUUUCUUUCCAGUUCUAGGUUCUGGUUUUGCCUUGUUCCAGGCGUGGGGUUUGGGUGUCAUCGUGAACAGGUGGUUCAGAUGAAAUCUCAGUGGUUAUUAUCUUGAACAGGUGGUUCAGAUAAGGUUUGUGCUCUCCAUGAAGAAGUCUGCUACGGUUCUUGCUCUCUUGUUCAGUCACGGCUUGUCUUUGACUAUUAAGUCUAUGUUCUUUCUUCUAUAGAUGUGUUUCUGGCUUUUUGAAGGAGUUUAUGGGUUUGGUUUAUGUUCCAAGUGAUGGUAUAAAACCCGUGUGUUUGGGUGUAAGUUUCCCUGUUAUGGGCUUAGUUGCUGGAGAUUUUCAUGUUUUCUGCCAGCUUUAGUAUUUCAACUUUGUGUUCUCUCGAAUGGUAUCAAUGAAACUCUUGUGACAA
Molecule: long non-coding RNA, 1296 nt
Filed under: Brassica napus (rape)
Lineage: Eukaryota; Viridiplantae; Streptophyta; Magnoliopsida; Brassicales; Brassicaceae
Description: long non-coding RNA (BNAP_LNC007845)
Source: RNAcentral